Molecule: unclassified non-coding RNA, 580 nt
Filed under: Hevea brasiliensis (rubber tree)
Lineage: Eukaryota; Viridiplantae; Streptophyta; Magnoliopsida; Malpighiales; Euphorbiaceae
Source: RNAcentral
GGUUGGACUGUCAGAACUCAGAGGCAAAGGUGGAAGCCAUGUCCGAAAGGGUUCUUUGCAAGUUCUUUGCACAUGGGGCAUGUCUGAAGGGGGAUCAUUGUGAGUUUUCACAUGAUUGGAACAAUCCUUCUAAUAAUGUAUGUACCUACUACCAAAAAGGAGCUUGUGCUUAUGGAAGCAGGUGUAGAUAUGAUCAUGUUAAACUGUCUCGAUCACAACCUUCAGCUCAGUCUUCAGCACAACCUCAACAAUGUCUGCUUUCAAGUUCUACGCCUAUCAAUGUGUCUCCUGGAAUGGGUGCACAUAAUGCAGAUGUUCUGCCAGGCAUUUGUACUGAGUAUUUAGCUUCAAGCAGACCUUAUGACGCUUCCAGCCAAUCAGCAUGGAACCAAAAGUCAGAGCUUCAAGAUGCAUUAGAGAUUGAUGACAUGAUUGAGUUAAACAGUGAUAAUCCAGCUGAUCGGUCAAUCUGUGCUUUUGCUGCUGCUGGUAAUUGUCCUCGGGGAGAAAAGUGUCCUCGUGUUCAUGGAGAUCUGUGUCCAACCUGCGGAAAGCAUUGCUUGCAUCCUUUCAGGCCCGA